GAUGAACGCUGGCGGCGUGCCUAAUACAUGCAAGUCGAGCGAACAGACGAGGAGCUUGCUCCUCUGACGUUAGCGGCGGACGGGUGAGUAACACGUGGAUAACCUACCUAUCAGACUGGGAUAACUUCGGGAAACCGGAGCUAAUACCGGAUAAUAUAUUGAACCGCAUGGUUCAAUAGUGAAAGACGGUUUUGCUGUCACUUAUAGAUGGAUCCGCGCCGCAUUAGCUAGUUGGUAAGGUAACGGCUUACCAAGGCAACGAUGCGUAGCCGACCUGAGAGGGUGAUCGGCCACACUGUAACAUUGACACGGUCCUGACUCCCACGCGAGUCAGCAGUGGGGAAGCUUCCGCAAUGGGCGAAAGCGUGACGGAGCAACGCCGCGUGAGUGAUGAAGGUCUUCGGAUCGUAAAGCUGUGUUACUAGUGAAGAACAAAUGUGGAAGUAACUAUGCUCGUCUUGACGGUACUUAAUCAGAAAGCCACGGCUAACUACGUG
Molecule: ribosomal RNA, 497 nt
Filed under: uncultured bacterium
Lineage: Bacteria
Description: partial 16S ribosomal RNA
Rfam family: Bacterial small subunit ribosomal RNA
Source: RNAcentral